Non-coding RNA from Acanthoscelides obtectus, 74 nucleotides. The record is from the annotation of a GenBank genome assembly. NCBI's taxonomy places the organism in Eukaryota, Metazoa, Arthropoda, Insecta, Coleoptera, Chrysomelidae.
GUCUGGGUAGCUCGGUGGUUAGCGCGUUGGGCAAGCAACUCGGGGUUCGCGAGAUCGAAUCUCCGCCUCUGAUG